ACCCUUCAAAGAUAACAGAUAUUAAGAGCAUGUUUGGUUCAUCUAUUUUAGAGUAUAGAAUCGAAAUGAGAUUCAUUGAUUCUAAUAGUUAUCCUUUGUUUUAAAAGAAUCGAAUCUCGACUUUCAUUUUACUCGUGGCCCAAUCCGGCUUUGAAUAUCUGAUUGGUUCAUUUCAAAAUAAAUUACUCAAAAUUCUCUUUCACUAACUCCUUCCAUCUUCUCCCAUUCUAGAUUUUCAUUUCGAUAUUUAUUUUAAUAAUAAACUAAAUAAUUUUGAAUGAUUAUUUUAUUUU
RNAcentral lists this long non-coding RNA (293 nucleotides) under Ananas comosus (pineapple). RNAcentral describes it as "long non-coding RNA (ACOM_LNC018505)". The record is from RNAcentral. Lineage: Eukaryota; Viridiplantae; Streptophyta; Magnoliopsida; Poales; Bromeliaceae.